Molecule: ribosomal RNA, 303 nt
Filed under: uncultured bacterium
Lineage: Bacteria
Description: partial 16S ribosomal RNA
Rfam family: Bacterial small subunit ribosomal RNA
Source: RNAcentral
AGCAGUAGCCACGGUAAGACAGAGGAUGCAAGCGUUAUCCGGAAUGAUUGGGCGUAAAGCGCACGUAGGCGGCUUUGUAAGUUAGAGGUGAAAGCCUGGAGCUCAACUCCAGAAUUGCCUUUAAGACUGCAUCGCUUGAAUCCAGGAGAGGUGAGUGGAAUUCCGAGUGUAGAGGUGAAACUCGUAGAUAUUCGGAAGAACACCAGUGGCGAAGGCGGCUCACUGGACUGGUAUUGACGCUGAGGUGCGAAAGCGUGGGGAGCAAACAGGAUUAGAUACCCCCGUAGUCCCUGUCUCUUAUAC